UACGUAGGGGGCAAGCGUUGUCCGGAAUUAUUGGGCGUAAAGAGCGCGUAGGCGGUCCGAUAAGUCGGCUGUGAAAGUCAGGGGCUCAACCCUUGGAAGCCGGCCGAUACUGUCGGACUAGAGUCCGGAAGAGGCGAGUGGAAUUCCCGGUGUGGCGGUGAAAUGCGCAGAUAUCGGGAGGAACACCAAUGGCGAAGGCAGCUCGCUGGGACGGUACUGACGCUGAGGCGCGAAAGCGUGGGGAGCAAACAGG
RNAcentral lists this ribosomal RNA (253 nucleotides) under uncultured bacterium. RNAcentral describes it as "partial 16S ribosomal RNA". It matches the Rfam family "Bacterial small subunit ribosomal RNA", at positions 524 to 776 of the family's 1533-position model. The record is from RNAcentral.